This 75-nucleotide transfer RNA is filed under the name Microcaldota archaeon. RNAcentral describes it as "tRNA-Glu". It matches the Rfam family "tRNA". From Rfam's summary of the family: Transfer RNA (tRNA) molecules are approximately 80 nucleotides in length. RNAcentral also lists the same sequence under 2 other names. The record is from RNAcentral. Lineage: Archaea; Nanobdellati; Microcaldota.
GCUCCUGUAGUCUAGCCCGGUCAAGGACACCGGACUCUCACUCCGGUAGCCCGGGUUCGAAUCCCGGCGGGAGCA